UUUUUAAUUGAAGGCUUGUAUGAAUGGUUGGACAAAGAAAAAACUGUCUUUAUAAUAAAUAUUGAAUUUAACUUUUAAGUGAAAAGGCUUAAAUAAACCAAGGGGACGAUAAGACCCUAUAAAGCUUUAUAUAAAUAUUAUAUUUGUUUAAAUUUAAGAUUGAAAAAGUUGAUAUUAAUGAAAUAUUUUGUUGGGGUGACAUUUAUAUGAGUGUAUAUUAGUAACUAUAUAGAAAAAUUACUAUUAAUUGAUGAAUCUAAGAAUUAAUGGUCCUUUUUAAAGACUAGGAGAUUAAGUUACUUUAGGGAUAACAGCGUAAUUUUUUUUGAGAGUUCUUAUCGAAAAAAGAGUUUGCGACCUCGAUGUUGAAUUAAAUUAUCUAUAUAAUGUAGUUGUUAUAUAAGAGGGUCUGUUCGACCUUUAAAUUUUUAC
Molecule: ribosomal RNA, 432 nt
Filed under: Dilocarcinus laevifrons
Lineage: Eukaryota; Metazoa; Arthropoda; Malacostraca; Decapoda; Trichodactylidae
Description: partial 16S ribosomal RNA
Rfam family: Bacterial large subunit ribosomal RNA (bases 307-432)
Source: RNAcentral